Long non-coding RNA from Cherax quadricarinatus, 1337 nucleotides. RefSeq lists it as uncharacterized. The record is from RefSeq and is a predicted model, not a curated record. Lineage: Eukaryota; Metazoa; Arthropoda; Malacostraca; Decapoda; Parastacidae.
CACGAGUGUAACCAUUGGUCAAGGUGUUGUACACAGCACCUCACUCACCAGCUACACACCUCCACACCAUAUACAUAUCCCACACUAUAUAUACAUCCACAGGUUGUGUGAACAGGUGACGUGUCCUCAUUGACCACUCCCUGGUGAAUCCGUCUUGAAACCUAAUUAACCAUCGCGACCCACGACCUGCUACGUACACAUAUGUUUAAUAAGUAUUUACAAGUGGGUUGUGUCCACGCAGCUUAUCAGCAGCAGACAAAGCAGCAUCAGCAGACAAAGCAGCAGCAAUCAUCAGCAGCAGCAGACACAGCAGACACAGCAGCAGCAGACACACCAGCAGCAACAACAGUAAUAAGAACAGGACCAGCAGCAUUAUUGUAGUCUCUUUAUUAUCAGGUGACUGACCUCUCUCUUUCUCUUUCUCAUUCUGUGCGAGUAAUAGGAAGAGGGUUUAGUUUUCCUGGAUUUUUAUAAUCAUGGCGAGAACUAAACCUGAAAGUGUCAAAAGAAUGAGAAGUAAUGAUGUUUGAUGGAGGAAAACGACCAGCUUCACCAAGACCCCAAAACGCUUCCCCAUUAUCAAACCUUCCCUCCCUCCGUCCAUUGAGAUUUGUAGAUAUAGUAUUUUAAACCACCCACAAGACAUUGUCGUCAUCACCUAUGUGGACCAGAGGAUAUACCAUUGAAUACUUAGUUACAAAACCAUGGAAAUGCGGAAUAAGGAGAGUCUUCUGCUUUACGAUCCGUGUAUCAUACACAUAAAUGAUACAUGAUAAUCCUUAAUCUAAAGUCCUCUUCUGUCUGUCUUUCCCAUGAGCUCCCAUAUAAAAGCCUACAUGCCCUGGCAUUAUCUCUUCCACUCACAACCUUCUUCUCACCAACCUACUCCUCCACUAUCCCCACUUCCCGGCUCGCCCUACAAAGGUCUUACCUAACUCUCCUGAUCAUGAAGGCAUAUAUCACGAAUUUCAAAAAUGACAGACGAUUUAUUUCUCGCCUGAUUACUACUGCUUGGCUGCUUCUAUACACACGCUUUAUAAACACGUGAAAAAACGACACUUCAAGCCAUCUGUGAAAAAAUAUGAUGACUUUUAAGUAUAUAGAUCAGCGAGACGACUUUCACAGUGAUGAAAGCUUCUUGAAGGCAGACUGUUUGCAUCUGUAUGCCAUGGGAAGUGCAAGACAGGGACGAACGGUGUAUAGAUUGCAAAACAGAAUUAGUUGGCUGAGAGGCCAAGAAGAGAGGAGAAAGAGCAGUGGUGAGACGUAAGCUUGAGAAAGUGACGCUUGGGAGUUAUAUCAAACGAAAACACAACUCUUGAAGCAAUUUUACCACA